Long non-coding RNA from Pseudophryne corroboree (corroboree frog), 401 nucleotides. RefSeq lists it as uncharacterized. The record is from RefSeq and is a predicted model, not a curated record. The transcript is spliced from 3 exons. NCBI's taxonomy places the organism in Eukaryota, Metazoa, Chordata, Amphibia, Anura, Myobatrachidae.
AGUAAUGGCGUCCAGCAGAAGAGGAGCCUACGCAGAAAGAGGAGGGCCAUCAAGAAAAGGAGUGGAAAAGACAGAAGAAGCACACUGCUACAGAAAAACUGUAUUGUCGCACGGUGAGGACCUUCUCUGGAUGUCCGAUUGGAGUCAAGUGAGAGCUGGGAAGGAGCGGCAUUCGGUAAUACAGCCAGCGGGACAGUGAGGGCGAGGAGACGCGAGUGCGUCCCUAGUUACCACACACGCCUGCAGGGGUUGCCCUGACGACGGGUGGACGCAGCGUACAGGCGCCCCGCUGAUCACAGCAACGUCUGGACAACGGGAUGACGUCAUCGCCGAGCGCCCCCGCACGUCUGGGCGCCGAACACCCGCCCGGAGCUCAGGUGAAUGGUGAUUACACAGGUACU